AUACGGAGGAUGCGAGCGUUAUCCGGAUUUAUUGGGUUUAAAGGGUGCGUAGGCUGUGCGUUAAGUCAGGGGUGAAAUGCCGUCACUCAACGACGGAGCUGCCCUUGAUACUGGCGUGCUGGAGUACGGAUGCCGUUGGAGGAAUGAGUGGUGUAGCGGUGAAAUGCUUAGAUAUCACUCAGAACACCGAUUGCGAAGGCAUCUGACGAAUCCGUCACUGACGCUGAGGCACGAAAGCGUGGGGAUAGAACAGGAUUAGAUACCCUGGUAUUCCACGCCGUAACCGAUGAUGACUAACCGUCGGCGAUAGACAGCCGGUGGCCAAGCGAAAGCGAUAAGUCAUCCACCUGGGGAGUACGUCGGCAACGAUGAAACUCAAAUGAAUUGACGGGG
This 393-nucleotide ribosomal RNA is filed under the name uncultured bacterium. RNAcentral describes it as "partial 16S ribosomal RNA". It matches the Rfam family "Bacterial small subunit ribosomal RNA", at positions 523 to 918 of the family's 1533-position model. The record is from RNAcentral.